GGACGUAGAAGGAUUCACAAAUACCAAAUGGAAGGAAAUGUUAAUUAACAUUAAGAAAGUAACAAGUGAAGUUCUAGGAGUGUCUAAACUCUAAUGGUCUAGCGGCUCAACCAAAAGAUUUGUGGUGGUGGAAUGAGGAAGUGUAAAAAGCUGUUAAGACCGAGAGGGGGCGCUCCUUAUCAAAAAAGGCCGAGAGGUAGUACUAAAGGAAGCUACCAAAAUCAUAAGGAAG
RNAcentral lists this long non-coding RNA (232 nucleotides) under Nicotiana benthamiana. RNAcentral describes it as "long non-coding RNA (NBEN_LNC026385)". The record is from RNAcentral. Lineage: Eukaryota; Viridiplantae; Streptophyta; Magnoliopsida; Solanales; Solanaceae.